AUGAACGCUGGCGGCGUGCCUAAUACAUGCCAGUCGAGCGAACAGACGAGGAGCUUGCUCCUCUGACGUUAGCGGCGGACGGGUGAGUAACACGUGGAUAACCUACCUAUAAGACUGGGAUAACUUCGGGAAACCGGAGCUAAUACCGGAUAAUAUAUUGAACCGCAUGGUUCAAUAGUGAAAGACGGUUUUGCUGUCACUUAUAGAUGGAUCCGCGCCGCAUUAGCUAGUUGGUAAGGUAACGGCCUACCAAGGCAACGAUGCGUAGCCGACCUGAGAGGGUGAUCGGCCACACUGGAACUGAGACACGGUCCAGACUCCUACGGGAGGCAGCAGUAGGGAAUCUUCCGCAAUGGGCGAAAGCCUGACGGAGCAACGCCGCGUGAGUGAUGAAGGUCUUCGGAUCGUAAAACUCUGUUAUUAGGGAAGAACAAAUGUGUAAGUAACUAUGCACGUCUUGACGGUACCUAAUCAGAAAGCCACGGCUAACUACGUG
RNAcentral lists this ribosomal RNA (496 nucleotides) under uncultured bacterium. RNAcentral describes it as "partial 16S ribosomal RNA". It matches the Rfam family "Bacterial small subunit ribosomal RNA", at positions 29 to 507 of the family's 1533-position model. The record is from RNAcentral.